This 522-nucleotide ribosomal RNA is filed under the name uncultured bacterium. Its description in RNAcentral is "bacterial SSU rRNA". It matches the Rfam family "Bacterial small subunit ribosomal RNA", at positions 354 to 869 of the family's 1533-position model. The record is from RNAcentral.
GUGGGGAAUUUUGGACAAUGGGCGCAAGCCUGAUCCAGCAAUGCCGCGUGCAGGAUGAAGGCCUUCGGGUUGUAAACUGCUUUUGUACGGAGCGAAACGGCUCUCUCUAAUAAAGGGGGUUAAUGACGGUACCGUAAGAAUAAGCACCGGCUAACUACGUGCCAGCAGCCGCGGUAAUACGUAGGGUGCGAGCGUUAAUCGGAAUUACUGGGCGUAAAGCGUGCGCAGGCGGUUAUAUAAGACAGAUGUGAAAUCCCCGGGCUCAACCUGGGCACUGCAUUUGUGACUGUAUAGCUAGAGUACGGCAGAGGGGGAUGGAAUUCCGCGUGUAGCAGUGAAAUGCGUAGAUAUGCGGAGGAACACCGAUGGCGAAGGCAAUCCCCUGGGCCUGUACUGACGCUCAUGCACGAAAGCGUGGGGAGCAAACAGGAUUAGAUACCCUGGUAGUCCACGCCCUAAACGAUGUCAACUGGUUGUUGGGUCUUUGCUGACUCAGUAACGAAGCUAACGCGUGAAGUUGAC